GAGUCGGACCUGCCCGGUGAAUAUAUUUUUAACGGCCGCGGUACUCUGACCGUGCAAAGGUAGCAUAAUCACUUGCCCUAUAAUUGAGGGCUAGUAUGAAUGGUUUGACGUGAACAAAGCUGUCUCUAUAUAAUUUUUUAGAACUUGAUUUCUAGGUGAGGAAUCCUAGAUAUUAUUGAUAGACAAGAAGACCCUAUUGAGCUUUAAAAGCAUAAAUUGAAAAAAAUGUAUAACUUUAAAUAUCAGUCUAUUUUGAAUUUUGGUUGGGGCGACUAUAGAACAAGUAAAGCUUCUUUACGAUUGAUAAGACCGGCAAGUGUUGAUCCAAAAAUCUUGAUUAAUGGAAUUAGUUACCAUAGGGAUAACAGCAUAAUUCUCUUUGAGAGUCCUUAUCGAAAAGAGAGUUUGUGACCUCGAUGUUGGACUAGAAUAUCCUAAAGAUGCAGCAGUCUUUAAGGGUUGGUC
RNAcentral lists this ribosomal RNA (465 nucleotides) under Purpuradusta serrulifera. RNAcentral describes it as "partial 16S large subunit ribosomal RNA". It matches the Rfam family "Bacterial large subunit ribosomal RNA", at positions 1850 to 2577 of the family's 2925-position model. Lineage: Eukaryota; Metazoa; Mollusca; Gastropoda; Littorinimorpha; Cypraeidae. The record is from RNAcentral.